Oncorhynchus mykiss (rainbow trout) is the source of this 1683-nucleotide long non-coding RNA. RefSeq lists it as uncharacterized. The record is from RefSeq and is a predicted model, not a curated record. NCBI's taxonomy places the organism in Eukaryota, Metazoa, Chordata, Actinopteri, Salmoniformes, Salmonidae.
ACUUUCGUCCGAGUGUGCCAGAGUGCAGAAUAACUGAUCAAUUUAUGAAUGCUCAACACCCGUUGAAUAUGGACCGUGUAAACCUCGGCAAAAAAAAGCAUAAUCAAUUGUUGCCAGCAGCACAGUUACAAGUCAACAACGCCAACACGAAAACAGCCUAAAAGGCGUUCUCUCAUUUGUGUCUGGAAGAAGACAGCAAGAUAUCCAGUUAGCUUGGGUGCUUGACAGCCGUUGUGAGGUCAGAACUUUGGGGUCAACCCUACUCCUAGGCCAGAGCGUCCAGUAUGCGCUCUGGACGCACAGAGAGCGAAACCCUCGGAAUUUACCAACGGACAAUCUAACAACGCAUCUGACAACGCUCUGAAUUUACGAACGCCCAGUGCGCCCUCUGAACGCACUCUGGACGCACUCUGAGCGCCCUCUGAGCGCACUCUGACACUCCAGAUUUAAUUUACCAACACACCCUUAGGCCUACAUUUUUUGUUAACAAAUCCAGGGAGUCAGGGACGAAGAUAAGCGUUAUUUUAUAAAGCAGACGUGCCCGAAGCCACAAAAGAAGGAAACGGUAACCUUUACCUUUACCUGGCUAUCUGCUCGGUCUGUCCCAGUGUCUGUACAGCUUCUUCUGCUACGUUCAUUAGGAAGGACCCAAGGGGUAUCCAGGAGGAGGUAGGGCUCCUGCUGCGUUCCCCACCCUCAGGAACAGGGUGGAGGCCACAAAGGACAGACCAAAGAUUUGGGUUUCUAGAGAAGCCUCUGAGCCAGUUCAGCUGCACCACCCUCAUGCACAAGGGAGCCAACAACGAGGAGGGGGAAGAGGAUGAUGACGAUGAAGACCCCGGCGUCCAUGUUAGAAGCAGUAAGAACACCUUCAACGCAGCAGCCUCAGCCGUGCCAAUACAGUCGCCUCACGGGCCCCCACAGAGGGAGUGUGUGACGGAGAAGUCCGUCAGUACACCAACACACACACACAUUAAUCGCGCCUCCCUGCUCUGUUAUUAGCUACAUUAACAAUGAGAGUUGUAUGUACUAAGAUAGAGACGUUAACUCUCUUAGUACAUACAUUUCACACUUUAUUCUUUCCUCCCGUCAGUAACAGUUCAUGGCAUAAAGAAUAUACAGACAAGCGUUCAUGUUUAAUUUAAGCAACGUUUAUUGUACUUAUCAAUGUUAUGGAUGAGUGCGUUGUUUGUUUGGUUCUGUUCCCCUCUCUCCGUCUCUGUAGCUUCCGUGUAUGCUGGGAUAAGGACCAGAGGUACGGUAAUCGGGCUGGCUUUGUAGUGCCUGUCCCGAAUGGCUCGUUCAUGUGAAUGAGCUUAUUGGAAGACUCCAUGUCAGUAGGGAUGGGAUUUUGUAAAUGUUAUAUUGGUAUAUUGUAUCAUGAGAAACGUGUUGCAAUGCAUAUCAUUCAUGAUGUUUAGCUGAGUGGGAAAUGUAAGCUUUGAUGAAGGUAAUUGCUAAUUAAUUAGUGCUGGGUAUGCUCUGAUGGGAGGGGCUUCCCCUACAAAAAGGAGCCUCUCUUUCAGUUCAAGGGGGGGACCAUUUUGGAUUGAGCUAUUGAUGGGGCAGCAUUGUUAUUUUAAUUACAUUUUUUAUAGCUGUCCCAUAAUGGAUACUUUGGAUGGCAGUACUGUUGUUUUUCUUCCGUAUUCACUAUGUAAAUAAACACCCAGAAGCACAGAA